UGGGGAAUAUUGCACAAUGGGCGCAAGCCUGAUGCAGCCAUGCCGCGUGUGUGAAGAAGGCCUUCGGGUUGUAAAGCACUUUCAGCGAGGAGGAAGGUGGUGAGCUUAAUACGCUCAUCAAUUGACGUUACUCGCAGAAGAAGCACCGGCUAACUCCGUGCCAGCAGCCGCGGUAAUACGGAGGGUCGCAAGCGUUAAUCGGAAUUACUGGGCGUAAAGCGCACGCAGGCGGUUUGUUAAGUCAGAUGUGAAAUCCCCGGGCUCAACCUGGGAACUGCAUUUGAAACUGGCAAGCUAGAGUCUCGUAGAGGGGGGUAGAAUUCCAGGUGUAGCGGUGAAAUGCGUAGAGAUCUGGAGGAAUACCGGCGGCGAAGGCGGCCCCCCUGGACGAAGACUGACGCUCAGGUGCGAAAGCGUGGGGCAGCAAACAGGAUUAGAUACCCUGGUAGUCCACGCUGUAAACGAUGUCGAUUUGGAGGUUGUGCCCUUGAGGCGUGGNUUCCGGAGCUAACG
Molecule: ribosomal RNA, 513 nt
Filed under: uncultured bacterium
Lineage: Bacteria
Description: partial 16S ribosomal RNA
Rfam family: Bacterial small subunit ribosomal RNA
Source: RNAcentral